UACGUAGGGGGCGAGCGUUGUCCGGAUUUACUGGGCGUAAAGCGCACGCAGGCGGUCUGCUAAGUUUGGAGUGACAGUUGGUGGCUUAACUGCCAAAGUGCUUCGAAAACUGACAGACUUGAGGGCUUCAGAGGGACACGGAAUUCCGGGUGGAGUGGUGAAAUGCGUAGAGAUCCGGAGGAACACCAAAGGCGAAGGCAGUGUCCUGGGGAGUACCUGACGCUCAGGUGCGAAAGCCAGGGGAGCGAACAGG
This 253-nucleotide ribosomal RNA is filed under the name uncultured bacterium. Its description in RNAcentral is "partial 16S ribosomal RNA". It matches the Rfam family "Bacterial small subunit ribosomal RNA", at positions 524 to 776 of the family's 1533-position model. The record is from RNAcentral.